GCUCUGAGUCGAGUAAUUGUGAUCCAAUUCGAAUCAUUUUCUCAAAAUCUUCUUCUUUUAACGGGAUAAAAACCAGUUGUUCAAUUGGUUCACCCCUCUCCUAAUUUUCUCUUUGGUCCAAUUUAUCAACAGGCAAAGAGUCUUCAAGUUUAUUAUUUUGGAUGGAGACAAAGAAGCAACGUCGGAUGAGUUAUUGAUCUUCACGCAUCUCUCCGACUCCAUAUCUUGUCAGAAAUCGAACUAACAAAUGGUAUGUCAAAUCCACUGCUCUCAGAUCGUUAAGUCCAGGUCAUCCGAAUAUGGCAUUA
This 308-nucleotide long non-coding RNA is filed under the name Elaeis guineensis (African oil palm). RNAcentral describes it as "long non-coding RNA (EGUI_LNC078118)". The record is from RNAcentral. Lineage: Eukaryota; Viridiplantae; Streptophyta; Magnoliopsida; Arecales; Arecaceae.